This 482-nucleotide ribosomal RNA is filed under the name uncultured bacterium. RNAcentral's name for it is "partial 16S ribosomal RNA". It matches the Rfam family "Bacterial small subunit ribosomal RNA", at positions 28 to 523 of the family's 1533-position model. The record is from RNAcentral.
GACGAACGCUGGCGGCGUGCUUAACACCUGCAAGUCGAACGAUGAAGAAGAGCUUGCACUUCGGAUUAGUGGCGAACGGGUGAGUAACACGUGACUAACCUGCCCCUUUCUCUGGGAUAACGCUCCGAAAGGAGUGCUAAUACCGGAUACUCACAUCGAGGCACAUGCCUUGAUGUGGAAAGUUUUUCGGAAAGGGAUGGAGUCGCGGCCUAUCAGCUUGUUGGUGAGGUAACGGCUCACCAAGGCGACGACGGGUAGCCGGCCUGAGGGGGCGACCGGCCACACUGGGACUGAGACACGGCCCAGACUCCUACGGGAGGCAGCAGUGGGGAAUAUUGCACAAUGGGCGAAAGCCUGAUGCAGCGACGCCGCGUAAGGGAUGAAGGUCUUCGGAUUGUAAACCUCUUUCAGUAGGGACGAAGCGAAAGUGACGGUACCUAAAGAAGAAGCACCGGCUAACUACGUGCCAGCCGCCGCCGUAA